RNAcentral lists this transfer RNA (68 nucleotides) under Klebsiella pneumoniae. RNAcentral's name for it is "tRNA-Val". Lineage: Bacteria; Pseudomonadati; Pseudomonadota; Gammaproteobacteria; Enterobacterales; Enterobacteriaceae. The record is from RNAcentral.
GGGUGAUUAGCUCAGCUGGGAGAGCACCUCCCUUACAAGGAGGGGGUCGGCGUAGUCUCCGCCGUGUA